GACAGAGGGGGCAAGCGUUGCUCGGAAUCACUGGGCGUAAAGGGUGCGUAGGUGGCGUGGUAAGUCUGGUGUGAAAUCCCGGGGCUCAACCCGGAACUGCACUGGAUACUGCCAUGCUUGAGUACUGGAGAGGAGAUUGGAAUUUACGGUGUAGCAGUGAAAUGCGUAGAUAUCGUAAGGAAGACCAGUGGCGAAGGCGAAUCUCUGGACAGUUACUGACACUGAGGCACGAAGGCCAGGGGAGCAAACGGG
Molecule: ribosomal RNA, 252 nt
Filed under: uncultured bacterium
Lineage: Bacteria
Description: partial 16S ribosomal RNA
Rfam family: Bacterial small subunit ribosomal RNA
Source: RNAcentral